AGUGGCGAACGGGUGAGUAACAUAUCGGAACGUACCGAGUAAUGGGGGAUAACUAAUCGAAAGAUUAGCUAAUACCGCAUAUUCUCUGAGGAGGAAAGCAGGGGACCUUCGGGCCUUGCGUUAUUCGAGCGGCCGAUAUCUGAUUAGCUAGUUGGUGGGGUAAAGGCCUACCAAGGCGACGAUCAGUAGCGGGUCUGAGAGGAUGAUCCGCCACACUGGGACUGAGACACGGCCCAGACUCCUACGGGAGGCAGCAGUGGGGAAUUUUGGACAAUGGGCGCAAGCCUGAUCCAGCCAUGCCGCGUGUCUGAAGAAGGCCUUCGGGUUGUAAAGGACUUUUGUCAGGGAAGAAAAGGCUGUUGCUAAUACCGACAGCUGAUGACGGUACC
RNAcentral lists this ribosomal RNA (389 nucleotides) under Neisseria flavescens. RNAcentral's name for it is "bacterial SSU rRNA". It matches the Rfam family "Bacterial small subunit ribosomal RNA", at positions 94 to 479 of the family's 1533-position model. The record is from RNAcentral. Lineage: Bacteria; Pseudomonadati; Pseudomonadota; Betaproteobacteria; Neisseriales; Neisseriaceae.